AAGCUGCAGGGCUUUCACAUUAAGCAGCCUCUUGGUCUUUAUUCCCAAGUGAGCUGCAAUCUUUGAGGGAAAUACCAAAAGGGAGAAUCUUUUGGAGUUCUUGGCUGGGGAAUUAACAACCCCCCCCCCCCCGCAAUCCUUAUGUGCUUGUGUCAGCAGCUCCUAGCCAGCGUAUUGCUGUGCAGGUCUGGUAAGUAGGAAAAACACGGAGUGAGGAUUUCAGAGAAAAUCAUUGAUACAUCCCCGGAUCCCUCUGCUAAAGGAAAGCUUCCUUUAGCGGGGGGAUAGAAAGUGGAGGAAGAAAGAUAUAUCUGGCUGAACAAUUUCAGAGGUGAGAAACGGGUGGGCGAGCCGGGGUGGCGGUUCUGUCUGUGGGUGAGGGGAGGAAGGUGGCAAAGAAAAGUUGCAGCGUCGGUCUGCGCGUGUACUCUAUGGGCUGGGCGCCGGGGAAAGCGCUAGCGUGCGGCCGGGACGCACUGCGGGGCCGAGAGCCGGGAGGACGUCGAAAAACCUUCUCCGCGGCCGAGGCUGGGAGGCUGGAAUUGCUGCCCGCCCGCCCGGAGCUCCAGAAACGCGCCGGCUCCUCUCGCCCGCGGUGGCCGAGGCCGCCAGUGUGGGGGCGCGCGGGGGGCCGGGGCGCCGGCGGCGGCGGGGCGGAGCGCGCGUGAGAGCGAGUGCGAGGCUGCGGGCGGCGGGCUGGCGGGCGAGUGUGCGCGGGAGGAAGGGAGGGAGGGGAGCGGAGCGCGCGCGCCGCCCGGGCCCCGGCCCUCCCAGCCUCCCGGCCUCCGCGCUGCCUCCCGCCCGCGCGCACCGGCUGCCUGCCGCCGCCGACGCUCCUGCUCGCGCCGGCGCUGCACGGGAGCUUGCCCGCCGCCGCCCGCUUUGUGCUUCCCCCCGAAGAUGGGAGCGACCUUUCCCAGCUCGGGAGCUAUUUAAAGGGAGGGAGUGCGCCGUCUUUCCUACUAACGUGGAGGAACGGGGGAAGGAUCCAGCCGCACUCCCCCAAACCAGUAGGUUGGGACAGUUG
RNAcentral lists this long non-coding RNA (1027 nucleotides) under Delphinapterus leucas (beluga whale). RNAcentral describes it as "lncRNA (ENSDLEG00000004595.1)". The record is from RNAcentral. Lineage: Eukaryota; Metazoa; Chordata; Mammalia; Artiodactyla; Monodontidae.